This 807-nucleotide small RNA is filed under the name Arabidopsis thaliana (thale cress). Its description in RNAcentral is "ATSL091080". Lineage: Eukaryota; Viridiplantae; Streptophyta; Magnoliopsida; Brassicales; Brassicaceae. The record is from RNAcentral.
UUUCACUAGCUAAUGUGGAAUAUGAGUCUAGACGUCCAGUGCUCAGAAGGCGUUUAAUGUGCGUUGGAUCCUAUUAAUUCCAGAGAUAUCUGACUCUACCCCAAGGGAUUGGCUGUAGAGAGGGUAUUGGCUUUAACAUGUUGAUUCGAUAAUGCCUGCUUAGUUAGAGAUCGCUAAAGGGAUUUAGGUCAAUGUCUAGCUUUGCUUGAGGAUUUCUAUCACGGGAGUGAAUUAAUCUGUUGUUGAACUUGUUGUCUAGGGAUAGCUUAUGUGAAGUUUUGUCAACCGCUUGAAUAGAUUAAGGAGACCACACUAUUGGAUUACCCCAUCCUUAGGAAUCGUUUAUCCAUUUGAUUGCAUGUUAUCAUUUCUGCUUUGUUAUUCACCUGCCUGCUAUUGCCAUUUCUGCUUUUAAUUUCAUUUCAUUUCUGUUAUUGCAUACUAGGACUAUUAAAACCAACCAACUCUCUGCUUGGAUUGACUUAGAGCUUUCUGAUCAUAUCUCAUCUGUUUGCAUCAUACCGGAUUGGAUUGACAUCCUAAAAUACUACAACGACAGGAUAGUGUUUUAGGAUUAAUUGACUAAAAUCCUACUACCAAUUUGGGGCUGUUGCCAGUUUGGUGUUUGUUUGCUAUAUUUGAGAUCAUUAGAAACGUUAAGAUCAAGUUCAUUUUUGUUGUACAAGUUACUUUGGUUUCAGGUACCUUGCAACCCGCUUUCCAGACGCAUCUCUAAUUCGUCUGUUAUAGCCCGUCUGCUAUCUGUUGCAUGCAUACACGGUCACAAGGAAAUCAGAACCUCCUAUU